GUGAGGAAUUUUCCACAAUGGGCGAAAGCCUGACGGAGCAAUGCCGCGUGAAGGAUGAAGGCCUAUGGGUUGUAAACUUCUUUUCUCAGAAAAGAAUUAUGACGGUAUCUGAGGAAUAAGCAUCGGCUAACUCUGUGCCAGCAGCCGCGGUAAGACAGAGGAUGCAAGCGUUAUCCGGAAUGAUUGGGCGUAAAGCGUCUGUAGGUUGUUUAAAAAGUAUUCUGUCAAAGAUUAGGGCUUAACCCUAGAUAGGCAGAAUAAACUUUUAAGCUAGAGUUUGGUAGAGGCAGAGGGAAUUCCCGGUGGAGCGGUGAAAUGCGUAGAUAUCGGGAGGAACACCAAAGGCGAAGGCACUCUGCUGGGCCAAUACUAACACUGAGAGACGAAAGCGAGGGGAGCAAAUGGGAUUAGAUACCCGGGUAGUCC
This 426-nucleotide ribosomal RNA is filed under the name uncultured bacterium. RNAcentral's name for it is "partial 16S ribosomal RNA". It matches the Rfam family "Bacterial small subunit ribosomal RNA", at positions 354 to 796 of the family's 1533-position model. The record is from RNAcentral.